This 184-nucleotide non-coding RNA is filed under the name Ectopseudomonas mendocina. Lineage: Bacteria; Pseudomonadati; Pseudomonadota; Gammaproteobacteria; Pseudomonadales; Pseudomonadaceae. The record is from RNAcentral.
CGCCUUCGCGGGAGUGACGGUAAAUGGCCAUUUCAGAAAUUCCCCAAGAGGGAACACGGUCAAGCCGUGGCUGCCCCCGCAACUGUAAACAGCGAGUCCAAUGCAAUCGGCCACUGGGUAACCGGGAAGGCGCGGCGGACGAAGACCUGUCAGCCAGGAGACCUGCCGACGAACGCUGGUCGCG